UACGAAAGGGGCUAGCGUUGUUCGGAAUUACUGGGCGUAAAGCGCGCGAAGGCGGGCUAGCAAGUUGGGGGUGAAAUCCCGGGGCUCAACCUCGGAACUGCCUCCAAAACUGCUAGCCUAGAGGAUGUGAGAGGAUAGUGGAAUUCCGAGUGUAGAGGUGAAAUUCGUAGAUAUUCGGAAGAACACCAGUGGCGAAGGCGACUGUCUGGCGCAUUUCUGACGCUGAGGUGCGAAAGCGUGGGGAGCAAACAGG
Molecule: ribosomal RNA, 253 nt
Filed under: uncultured bacterium
Lineage: Bacteria
Description: partial 16S ribosomal RNA
Rfam family: Bacterial small subunit ribosomal RNA
Source: RNAcentral